Molecule: long non-coding RNA, 4998 nt
Filed under: Lactuca sativa (garden lettuce)
Lineage: Eukaryota; Viridiplantae; Streptophyta; Magnoliopsida; Asterales; Asteraceae
Description: long non-coding RNA (LSAT_LNC005440)
Source: RNAcentral
CUUCACGGUUAGAUUCUGCUCACUUCUUCCCUUAAGCUUCCUUUCUUUUCUUCGAUCCUACAAAACAUCAAUUGUAAUCUUAUCACAUUAUGUAUUAAGAAUCUAGAAUAGAAGCUUAAAAGAGUUAGUUAAUGGAUUUUACCUAUAUUAGAGCCAUACGUUUCGACUCUCCCAUCUCUUAGAUCUCUUAGGUAAAUGGGGCAGCUUCGUCUCCAAUGCCCUUUCUCUUGGCAAUAAAAGCAAAUUGACUCUUUUGGAACAUGACAUGGAACUACUUCAGACAUUGCCUUUCUCUUAUGAUCAAACUUUUCGAUCAUAACAUGUCUUUCGUUGCCAUUGUCUAUAUCCAUAGAGGUCUUGAAGGCAGAUUCACCAAUCAACUUUGCUUUUCUAUUGUGCCAAACCAUUGCUGAUUCAGCAGCAACAAGCAUAUAGGUGAGAUCUAUAAGGUUCACGUCGUAGUUCAUCAUAUAGUACUCUCUUACGAACUCACUAUAUUAGUUAGGAAGUGACUGAAGAACCCAAUCAACAGCCAUUUCCUCACAGACAACGGAUCCCAAUAUUCUUAACCUAUCAAUGUGUGACUUCAUCCCUAGGACGUGUACACACCGACUUUCCUUCUUUAUGUUUACUUGCCAAAAGGGCUUGAGUGAUCUUGAACUUUUCAAGCCUUUGAACUUGUGGGUUAGGGAGAAUAAUUUGAGGAGGAGGAGGAGGAAGUGAAGCAUGAUCUCUUGUUCCUCGAUCGAAUCGUGGAAUAUCAUCUUCAUGUGGAAGGUUGUGACAACCCAAGUUGUGCCGUUACAUUUCCCCGUUACCGUUAACGGAAUAUUCCACUGUAUAAAAGUUCCGUUAAUUAGAGGGCGUCAAUUUAAUAAACAUUCCAUUUGUUUACAUUUAACAUGCCGUUAAGUCGUGAUAAAAAGAAAUAAAAAGACAUAACACUCAUUUCCAUUUAUUUGGAAAAUGAUAAGUUUUAUUGUUACGACCACUAAAUCGGGUGUGACCAAAAGCCCCGUUUAAUGGCAGUAUUGGGUAAAAUUCCACUGAGCCCCGACUCGGAACCCUAUAUAAGGGUGAGUGGAGUCCAUUGGAGACUUUUUACACUCUCUCUCUAGACCCGUUUUCGCCCCGAAUCCGCAACCAAACGCUUCCAAAUUGUAAGUCCGCUUACCCUAGCUUGUUCUAAACAUUACUAGUUGUAGUUAUACCCCAAAAAUUGUCCAAGAAGGGAAGGAGUAAGGAGUUUACGGCCCAAGAACACUCUAGGGCCGUAAACCCCUAAAAUGAUGCCAAACUUGCCUUUAAACUCACCCUUAAGCUUGGAAACUAAUUGGGGAUCUAGCCUAGGAGUGUGUAAACAUCAAAACACAAUGAUUUAGGGCAUAAAAGAGAGUUUACAGCCCAAGCACAUGCUUAGGCCGUAAACCCCUCUAAACCAUGUCAAAAUGCCCCAAAAACACCCCCAAACCACCCUAGGGCUUCAUUCAUAAUUAAGGGACUUAGUAUUUGGGGUUUGGACCAAUUAAACACAACAAAAUGAAGGGUUAAAAGGAGUUUACGGCCCAGGCAUGUACCAGGGCCGUAAACACCCUUAAAUAUCCCCAAAACAUUAAUUUUGUCCCCCAAAUGGCCUUAGACUAUUACCAAAAUGCUUAGGAAAUUACCCACUACCAUUUAAGCCCUUAAGACACCAAAAGAAAUAGGGUAUAGGAGCUUACGGCCGUAAGCUCCCUUGCUUAUGGCCGUAAACUCCUCAAAGGGGCCAUUUCAUGCUUAAACUCAUUCACACUUUAUGGUUUUGGACUUAGGAUAAUUCCAUGAGCAAGUAAAAGCCUUAAAACACCCAAGGAAUAUGUCCCUAGGAGUUUACGGUCAUAAACUCCCUUGAUUAGGGACGUAAACCCCAAGUUGGUCCAUAUAGGUGCUUUAAAUCCAUUCACACACUUGAUAUUUGAGUUUAGCAAAAUUCCACAAUUGAUAUGAGACACUUUAGCACCCUAGAACACCCUCACCAUGAGUUUACGGCCGUAAACUCAUGGUGAGUAGUCCCUGGGCCAUAAACAUGAUGUUAAGGGUUUACUCUUGGAGAGUAAACUCCAUUCCCUAGCCAUACACACCCUUAGACGCCACCCGGGACACCCAAACACUUAUCUAAAGUGUUUUCCGCUCCUUUGAGUGCGUAUAUUUGUUUAAUUAGUAUUAAAUAUAAUAAUUGUAUGUGAACAUAUGUUAUCAUAUGUUAAAUAGGUCAUUGUGUGUGUUCGAGUCCUUGUGUGACACCGAACACCCAAACGGCACCUUCGUCGGACCUACUUACACCAGGUGAGUUCAUACCCCUGAAUGAACAUUUUAAAUGUUUUAUAGGGGGGAAUACAAGUUAAACAUGCCAGUUAUCACAUCAAUCACAUAUGAUUGAUAACCCGCAUGCACAAGAUUUUACCACUGUACACUGUGUUUUACCGAGUAGGNACCACUGUACACUGUUUUACCGAGUAGGACACUAUAAUGGUUUUCAAUUGUAUCAAAACACUUACUUAUACUGUUUUAUCUAAAUUCAUUCUAAACUGGUUUAUGAAAGAUUUCCUAAGGUUUUCAAACAUAUUUUACAAAAGAAUACAAAUUGUGAUUUUCUCCGGAUAUAAAGGUUUUUCAUCAAAGUUUCCCUUUUUUAAUGUAUACUUUCACUUGUUAAAUACUGCUGCUUUGCUUAUACUUAUUUUAUACUCCUACUCUGUAACGCUUUCACUUAUACUUGAAGUCACUUAUACAUGAUGGACGCUUAUACUUAUUCACACUCUUACUUAGUGAUACGAUUCUACUUCGCUUAUACUUGAUAUCGACUCUACUUCACUUAUACUCGAUACGCUCAUACUUCACUUAUUGUCGUCUCUACUUCGUGAUACGCUUAUACUUGUUCGACACUCUUACUUCACUUGCGAUCACUCCUACUUCACUUGUUAGACACUCCUACUUCACAAAGAUCACUCCUACUUGAUACACACUCAGUCGUAGUUAGAUGUAUGUCUGUGCUUGUAUAGAUGCAUAUAAAUAAUGAUUGAAGGACUUAGGAAGGCUUGUCCGCCCUAUUUCCUUUUCUUCGUUGAGAUGUGGUCUGGUGGGAUCGGAUGUCCAUCCGAAGGUCGUUUGAUUCAUUACUUAUAUAUUAUGUACACAAGCAUAGACAUACGGGUUUACUUCAGUCAAUUCAGUUAAGAGUCUCUACCUCUAGUUCAGCACUUACAUUAGAAACCCACUAGUUGGAAGUCUCUACCCACUAUUUGGGAUGCAUCUUCAGGACACGGCCUUCUCCGUCGUCUAGUUGGUAACCAGAGUCUCCUGUAGGGAGAGCGGACAUUGUGUGUAUAGAUCUAUACGGGAUUGACAACCCCGCACCCAGACUGCUAGCUACAGUCCCGGCCUACCAAGCCAACGGGUGACAAAUGUCACAUUUUAGACGCUUGUAGGGCGUCUGGUACUCUAGUCAGUAUGGUUACGAGUAUCCCGGGUUACCUUAUAAUUCAUUGGCCUUAAGGUAACGGUAUUUCGCCAGCAAUUUACACUGUAUGCUGGUAAUUCAUUUUCAGAGUCACACUGUUUUGACCUUACAAGACGUAUCUUUCAUUUGAUACUGUCUGGGGUCUGUAUUUACUGUAUUCACUGUAUUCACUGUAUCCACUGUAUCCACUGUAUUCACUGUAUCCACUGUAUUCACUGUUUUAGACCUUGCUAGACAUAUCUUUCAUUUGAUAUUGUCUGCGGUCUGUAUUCACUGUUUUGGACCUUACCAGCUGUACCUUUCAUUUGGUACCUUCUGGGGUCUGUGUCUCUAUUUGUUAGACUGAACCAGGCGUGUCGUUCGUUCGAUACUCUCCUGGAGUCUAUGAUUCCUUUGCCUUAGCCAGCAGUCCUCACUGCUGAGGCAUAUGUUAUUUCCCUGUUGUCUCUUGCUUCCAUUAAUAAUCAAAUUCAGUAUUUUGAUAAUGAUAGCAAUUAAAUGAAAACCCCCUUUUUACCAAAUAACACUGACCAGUCUUGGUAGAAGGCUGCUUUGAUUAAAGAAAAUAUAGGAUUUUCUGGAAAGAACUCUAAUACACUGUAAACACUUAAACUAUUACUUUAUUAAGUUAUUUGAAUGAAAUGUCACUAAAUACUUAUGAACUCACCAGCAUUUGUAAAAAUGCUGAUACUCGCUUUUCAAAUAACUUGUAUUCUCAGGUUAGCAUUAGACAGGUACAUCCCCGGAGCUGUUGAUGAAGAUAGCUUAGUACCGCGCUGUAUUUAUUCUAUUACUUGUAUUACUUUGAUGUAUUAAUGUAACCAUGUAAAACUAUUACUAUUAAUGCAAUGUUUUGUUGUACUUUGAUUACUAUAAUGCAUGUGUUGUGAUACUUGACAUGACGUCAUCCACCCCAGAACGUUUCCGCCGUUCCGGUUUUGGGGUGUGACAAAGGCUUGUUCCACGGGAUUUGGGAAAACCAUAGUUGUCGAACUCUGACAUCUACAAAAUGGGAGAAAACGAAUUCAAGUUAGUUGAUAGAUUGAGUCCUUAGUAAAUCACCCAAAUGAGAUACUAAGGCUAGGACCCAACACAAUAUUCUACAACUGGGGAGAGGGAUGCCGUAACCCUAAUUGCAGAAUAUUUGAAGGUAAGUGAAUAACGAUUCACUAAUUUCCACCAUGAAAAACGAAAAAAGAAAUUUAAGUUUUAAAUCUAUGAAAACUCCUAGAUCCUUUGAGAUACAUUGAACUUUCAAUGGCAUGUUUAUAUCUCGAUAUGCCCCUCUUGUUUGUGACUGGGAUGCCGAGGAUCACAAAGCGGGUGUGAAUAACCAUGCAAACUAAAUGGUGCCCUCACAUGUUACAGUCACCUAUUCGAUGUGCCGGUAAACCACACACGCUCCACCGAACUAUGACAAACAUUGAGUCACCCUUUGCUACCUUUGCUUAGAACCAUUUAGUGUGCCGGUAAACCACACACGCUCCACUAACGUCUUC